Molecule: long non-coding RNA, 489 nt
Organism: Talpa occidentalis (Iberian mole)
Lineage: Eukaryota; Metazoa; Chordata; Mammalia; Eulipotyphla; Talpidae
Exons: 3
Source: RefSeq, a predicted model, not a curated record
UCUAGAGAGGGAAAGAUUGCCUACUAGUCUCUGCACCAAAUCACAUCCCAAAUAGAGCUUGCAAAGAGGCCUGCUUAGGGCAUCAUAUAAACCUCCUUCCCUAUUCCCAAUAUCCCCCUGCCAGCCCCCUUCCUUGCAGCAGCCAGGCGACGUUGAAGAUCUUGCCAAGAGUGUCAACCAGGAACGUGUCUUUUUUCCUGAAAUACAUUGUGGAUCAGUGGGCUGGCCCCUUAAGACCCCAGCGAUGCAUCUUGUUCGGAGCCCAGCACACAGUAACCCAGAAACAUAUGUGGUUUAAGAUGAGUCUUUAUGUACAGAACCUUGAAGAGCAUCCUCUAAAACAGUGUGUUCGAGUACCCAGUUGGAUGGAGUAAGCACACUACCCUGUCUCUCCCAGUGAAAUGCAACUACAAUACCUGGAGAGAAUUCAUGGAAUGCUGAGGACACUGAAAAACUAGAAUUCUUUUCCACAACAAGCCUAAAAAGGUG